GGCAAGAUGGCCGAGUUGGUCAUGGCACCAGGUUAGUACUAACUUAACACGCAACCUGGUUCGGGAAACUGAUCGUGGGUUCGAAUCCCACUCUUGUCA
Choiromyces venosus 120613-1 is the source of this 99-nucleotide non-coding RNA. Lineage: Eukaryota; Fungi; Ascomycota; Pezizomycetes; Pezizales; Tuberaceae. The record is from the annotation of a GenBank genome assembly.